This 1340-nucleotide ribosomal RNA is filed under the name uncultured bacterium. RNAcentral describes it as "bacterial SSU rRNA". It matches the Rfam family "Bacterial small subunit ribosomal RNA", at positions 28 to 1381 of the family's 1533-position model. The record is from RNAcentral.
GACGAACGCUGGCGGCGUGCUUAACACAUGCAAGUCGAACGGAAAGGCCUCUGCUUGCAGGGGUGCUCGAGUGGCGAACGGGUGAGUAACACGUGGGUGAUCUGCCUUGUACUCUGGGAUAAGCUUGGGAAACUGGGUCUAAUACCGGAUAGGAACUGCCUUUAGUGUGGUGGUUGGAAAGUUUUUUCGGUGCAAGAUGAGCUCGCGGCCUAUCAGCUUGUUGGUGGGGUAAUGGCCUACCAAGGCGUCGACGGGUAGCCGGCCUGAGAGGGUGUACGGCCACAUUGGGACUGAGAUACGGCCCAGACUCCUACGGGAGGCAGCAGUGGGGAAUAUUGCACAAUGGGCGGAAGCCUGAUGCAGCGACGCCGCGUGGGGGAUGACGGCCUUCGGGUUGUAAACUCCUUUCGACAGGGACGAAGCUUUUUGUGACGGUACCUGUAUAAGAAGCACCGGCUAACUACGUGCCAGCAGCCGCGGUAAUACGUAGGGUGCGAGCGUUGUCCGGAAUUACUGGGCGUAAAGAGCUCGUAGGUGGUUUGUCGCGUCGUCUGUGUAAUUCCGGGGCUUAACUCCGGGCGUGCAGGCGAUACGGGCAUAACUUGAGUGCUGUAGGGGAGACUGGAAUUCCUGGUGUAGCGGUGAAAUGCGCAGAUAUCAGGAGGAACACCGAUGGCGAAGGCAGGUCUCUGGGCAGUUACUGACGCUGAGGAGCGAAAGCAUGGGUAGCGAACAGGAUUAGAUACCCUGGUAGUCCAUGCCGUAAACGGUGGGCGCUAGGUGUAGGGGGCUUCCACGUCUUCUGUGCCGUAGCUAACGCAUUAAGCGCCCCGCCUGGGGAGUACGGCCGCAAGGCUAAAACUCAAAGGAAUUGACGGGGGCCCGCACAAGCGGCGGAGCAUGUGGAUUAAUUCGAUGCAACGCGAAGAACCUUACCUGGGCUUGACAUACACCAGAUCGCUGCAGAGAUGUAGUUUCCCUUGUGGUUGGUGUACAGGUGGUGCAUGGUUGUCGUCAGCUCGUGUCGUGAGAUGUUGGGUUAAGUCCCGCAACGAGCGCAACCCUUGUCUUAUGUUGCCAGCAUUUGGUUGGGGACUCAUGAGAGACUGUCGGGGUUAACUCGGAGGAAGGUGGGGAUGACGUCAAAUCAUCAUGCCCCUUAUGUCCAGGGCUUCACACAUGCUACAAUGGUCGGUACAACGCGCAGCGGCACUGUGAGGUGGAGCGAAUCGCUGAAAGCCGGUCUUAGUUCGGAUUGGGGUCUGCAACUCGACCCCAUGAAGUCGGAGUCGCUAGUAAUCGUAGAUCAGCAAUGCUGCGGUGAAUACGUUCCCGGGCCU